GCAUCAGUGGUGUAGCGGUAACAUUGGGUCUUCCCACUCCAAGUGACUGGCCUAGCUCCGGGUUCGACUCCCGGCUGAUGCA
Molecule: non-coding RNA, 82 nt
Organism: Lactifluus volemus
Lineage: Eukaryota; Fungi; Basidiomycota; Agaricomycetes; Russulales; Russulaceae
Source: the annotation of a GenBank genome assembly